GUCGUCAGGACGAACGCUGGCGGCGUGCCUAACACAUGCAAGUCGAACGAAGCAUUUGGAGUUGAUCUCUUCGGAGUGACGCACCUUAUGACUUAGUGGCGGACGGGUGAGUAACACGUGAGCAACCUGCCUCUCAGAGUGGAAUAACAGUUGGAAACGGCUGCUAAUACCACAUAACGUUUUUGUGCCGCAUGACACUUCAACCAAAGAUUUAUCGCUGAGAGAUGGGCUCGCGUCCGAUUAGGUAGAUGGUGGGGUAACGGCCUACCAUGCCGACGAUCGGUAGCCGGACUGAGAGGUUGAUCGGCCACAUUGGGACUGAGACACGGCCCAGACUCCUACGGGAGGCAGCAGUGGGGGAUAUUGCACAAUGGGCGCAAGCCUGAUGCAGCAACGCCGCGUGCGGGAAGACGGCCUUCGGGUUGUAAACCGCUGUCCUUGGGGAAGAAACAAAUGACGGUACCCAAGAAGGAAGCCACGGCUAACUACGUGCCAGCCGCUGC
This 503-nucleotide ribosomal RNA is filed under the name uncultured bacterium. RNAcentral describes it as "bacterial SSU rRNA". It matches the Rfam family "Bacterial small subunit ribosomal RNA", at positions 26 to 518 of the family's 1533-position model. The record is from RNAcentral.